Molecule: ribosomal RNA, 626 nt
Filed under: uncultured bacterium
Lineage: Bacteria
Description: bacterial SSU rRNA
Rfam family: Bacterial small subunit ribosomal RNA
Source: RNAcentral
UUGGUGGGGUAAUGGCCUACCAAGGCGACGACGGGUAGCCGGCCUGAGUGGGUGUCCGGCCACACUGGGACUGAGAUACGGCCCAGACUCCUACGGGAGGCAGCAGUGGGGAAUAUUGCACAAUGGGCGCAAGCCUGAUGCAGCGACGCCGCGUGAGGGAUGACGGCCUUCGGGUUGUAAACCUCUUUCAGCAGGGACGAAGCGCAAGUGACGGUACCUGUAGAAGAAGGACCGGCCAACUACGUGCCAGCAGCCGCGGUAAUACGUAGGGUCCGAGCGUUGUCCGGAAUUACUGGGCGUAAAGAGCUCGUAGGUGGUUUGUCGCGUUGUUCGUGAAAACUCACAGCUUAACUGUGGGCGUGCGGGCGAUACGGGCAGACUUGAGUACUGCAGGGGAGACUGGAAUUCCUGGUGUAGCGGUGGAAUGCGCAGAUAUCAGGAGGAACACCGGUGGCGAAGGCGGGUCUCUGGGCAGUAACUGACGCUGAGGAGCGAAAGCGUGGGGAGCGAACAGGAUUAGAUACCCUGGUAGUCCACGCCGUAAACGGUGGGUACUAGGUGUGGGUUUCCUUCCUUGGGAUCCGUGCCGUAGCUAACGCACUAAGUACCCCGCCUGGGGAGUACGG